This 71-nucleotide transfer RNA is filed under the name Marmota monax (woodchuck). Its description in RNAcentral is "tRNA.Ala". The record is from RNAcentral. Lineage: Eukaryota; Metazoa; Chordata; Mammalia; Rodentia; Sciuridae.
GGGGUUGUGGCUCAGCAGUAGCGCUCUCAUCUAGCAUAUGUGAGGCCCUGGGUUCGAUCCUCAGCACCACA